AGUGAACGCUGGCGGUAGGCCUAACACAUGCAAGUCGAACGGCAGCACAGUAAGAGCUUGCUCUUACGGGUGGCGAGUGGCGGACGGGUGAGGAAUACAUCCGAAUCUACUUUUUCUUGGGGGAUAACGUAGGGAAACUUACGCUAAUACCGCAUACGACCUACGGGUGAAAGCAGGAGAUCUUCGGACCUUGCGCGAUUCAAUGAGCCGAUGUCGGAUUAGCUAGUUGGCGGGGUAAAGGCCCACCAAGGCGACGAUCCGUAGCUGGUCUGAGAGGAUGAUCAGCCACACUGGGACUGAGACACGGUCCAGACUCCUACGGGAGGCAGCAGUGGGGAAUAUUGGACAAUGGGGGCAAGCCUGAUCCAGCCAUACCGCGUGGGUGAAGAAGGCCUUCGGGUUGUAAAGCCCUUUUGUUGGGAAAGAAAAGCAGCAGGUUAAUACCCCGCUGUUCUGACGGUACCCAAAGAAUAAGCACCGGCUAACUUCGUG
Molecule: ribosomal RNA, 492 nt
Filed under: uncultured bacterium
Lineage: Bacteria
Description: partial 16S ribosomal RNA
Rfam family: Bacterial small subunit ribosomal RNA
Source: RNAcentral